Molecule: ribosomal RNA, 519 nt
Filed under: uncultured bacterium
Lineage: Bacteria
Description: bacterial SSU rRNA
Rfam family: Bacterial small subunit ribosomal RNA
Source: RNAcentral
GGGGGAUAACGCAGCGAAAGCUGCGCUAAUACCGCAUACAAUCUAUGGAUGAAAGCGGGGGACCGUAAGGCCUUGCGCGAAUGGAGCGGCCGAUGGCAGAUUAGGUAGUUGGUGGGGUAAAGGCUCACCAAGCCGACGAUCUGUAGCUGGUCUGAGAGGACGACCAGCCACACUGGGACUGAGACACGGCCCAGACUCCUACGGGAGGCAGCAGUGGGGAAUUUUGGACAAUGGGCGCAAGCCUGAUCCAGCAAUGCCGCGUGCAAGAUGAAGGCCUUCGGGUUGUAAACUGCUUUUGUACGGAACGAAAAAGCUCUGGUUAAUACCUGGGGCUCAUGACGGUACCGUAAGAAUAAGCACCGGCUAACUACGUGCCAGCAGCCGCGGUAAUACGUAGGGUGCGAGCGUUAAUCGGAAUUAUUGGGCGUAAAGCGUGCGCAGGCGGUGAUGUAAGACAGUUGUGAAAUCCCCGGGCUCAACCUGGGAACUGCAUCUGUGACUGCAUCGCUGGAGUGCGGC